GCCCUACGGAUUCUAGGCAUGCAGAAUCUUAGUAGAGAGGUCUGGCUCCAGCUGUACUCUCUCUUUCUAAUCACGGCCUCAGCUCGGUGCACAGUCGUGCAGUCUAUCAUUAUAAGUCCGUGCGUUCAAUCAUACGUUCAAUAUACACAAGAGAUGAAGGAAAGAUAUGAUACAUAUCCAUAUAAUUGUGAGUAAUACGUUUCUAGAGGGUCGUGCGCACAGAGCACUGAAAUAUAAGCUUAUAAACGUGGAGUGGACAUGCCGAUGUUUUCCUCUGAUCUUUCAGGUCCCAGAUUACAUUGUGCUUUGCGCAAAAAAAUUAAGACAAAUACAUAUCGCCGUCUCUCUCAAUCGCAUUAGAAGUAUGCUAUCAAGUUAGGACAGGAUGUAAGCUUUCUUUCUCAAUCUGUUUGGGACACGUUUGGGACCAUGAGACACCGUGACCGCUCCAUUUAAGCUCUAUGGUCUGGGAGGUUUUUAUAGUUUCUUUUCGCUUUCAUGCUGAUGAAUUUAAUGCGUCACAACUAAUUCGAAAUGCUACAUUCAAAGCGAGACGAACAUUAUGUUAAUGAUUUUGAAUUCGUAAUGAUUCUCUUCGUAAAUUGAUAUGUGUGAAUCGGCGAAUGAAAAUAUAGUAUGAAGAGAUAUAAGAAUUUGAAAGAAUUUGCUGCAGUUGGCUAGCCUGGACGGAAUAAAUACGUAAAUACAAUAUGGCUGGUUGAAGUGAAACGUCGUCAGAGUUUUUCUGUUCGAUAUUUCAUGCUUCACUGAGUGAAAACUCUCUAUUUUAAUAGUUACAACGCGUUUGCAACGUGUGACAAUAGUUUAUUAACAAUUUUGUGCUGAAAAUUGUCAAAAAUUUUAACCUAAUUUAGCAGGAAGUGGUUGGUCAGUCGGUUUGAAGAAAUGUUGUUUUUAUUUUUUAUACCCCAGUUGACAUUCGUCGGAGUUCGCAUAAUAUACCAAUCAAAGAUGUAACGAUUGUUAUGUUAAUAUUUAAGAACUUGUGGUAUCUUGUCAACUCAACCAUGUGUACACGUGUAGUUUUAUCGUGGCAAUGAGGUAGGGCACUACUUGUAUGACAAUGGAGAUGGAUUUGGAUGGCACGAAGUGCGAAGGAGGCGGAGAAAGCAGCCCUGGAUGUUCUGGUUACUCCAGUAUGGUUCACAGUAAAAAAGUUAUCAAACACGCGCUUCGCCAGCAGGCCAAGAGGAGGAGAAAAAACACUACGAUAGCUGCUGGCAACUCUCGCACUCUUCCAAGGAUUGUUGUGAAGCCUCUUCCGCCACCUCCUCCGGAUGAUAUUCCCUUGAAUGUUGCUAAUGUCCCACGAACUCCCACAACCGAGGAACCAGCAGCUACAAUGAGGGAAGUGCUGGCAAGUCUACCUGGUUUUAGUUUGAAGUCUAGUCGUAGAAGAUCGACGAAAAGGCUUUCAGCUGCUGCUCAGUUAGAAGCUGGGUUAGUAGAUUUGGAAUCCCCAGCCAGCAUUUUGGCCAGCACCAGUCUUAGGGCUUUACUUAAUCGGUACACCUUCCAGGGACUUCCUCCUCUUUAUCAAAGGAAGCUCGCUCAGCUUUUACCAGCUGUUGAUAGACAGGAUGCUGCAACGUCUGGAUUAAACAAUGAGUUCUUUGCACGUGCCUGCCUUGAGUGGAAAAAACGUCUGGCUGAGGGUGAAUUCACCCCCGAAAAUCAACAGAGACUGAAAAUGGAAGCUGAGAGAGAUAAGAAUAAAUUAGAUCCUUGGAAGCUUAAGCAUUUUGAACCAAUAUGGGGUGAGAAACGAGAACCUAAGUUGAGAUCCGGACCGCACUCUGCAGUGGAACCAAGGCCGAUUGGAGCAGUCACACGUUCAAGUUUGCGAUUGCGCUCAGAAUCUAUACACGAUCAAACAGCACCUGAUCUUUUACCUUGUUCAGCAGCAGUCACAGAAGAAAAAGUGGCGAUAGCAAGUUACGUUUCUAAAGGUCAUAUAAUGGCGUCAAGCUUGACAACGGAGAGUCAAGCAGUGUCCCUUAAAUCAACGCAAGAAUGUGAGGAUGAUAAGGAAAUGGUGCCGAGUAAUAGUUGCAAAGAAGUACUAACACAGCAAAAACUAAAUUCAUCCAAUGUCAUAAUUAAGUCUGACCCUGAUCCAUUCAUAGAAGAAACACCUGUCAUUGUCACUAAUGAUGAAACCACGAAGUCAUCGGAACUUCGUGUGUCUGAAACUCCAGGAGAGUUAAUGUUAGAAAUAGCCAAUGGAGUAGCUGCUGAAAUUAUUAACGAAGAAAUACACAAAUCUGAGGAACCAGUUUCCGAUGUACCUGAUGAAGAGAUUUCCCGUCAAUCGGAUAAUCAUGAUUCCGAGAUAUGUAAAAUCGAAAGUAAUGUAACGACAGAGAAUUUGUCAUCUUGUGAUGGUGCCCCUCUAUCAGAACCAAUAUCAGAGAAUCAGUCUAUAAUCAAUAGUCAACCAGAAGUAGAAGAAUCAACUACAACUACAACUGUAGAUGGUGAACCACAGAUUCCAGAAGAGAUGGAGAUAGAUAGUGAAACAUUACAACGCAUACACGAAUUAGAGGUACGUGGUGAAAUGAUAGAAGCUUAUGAAGAGAUAUCAGGUUGCCCAGAAAAUAUUUAUCCUAUUUUGGCGGAUAUAGAAAUUGGUUCAAGUACAGGAGGAGGGGACGACAAUCCUGUGGUACCUGUACAAGGGCCAGUCAAUGCGGCCUCUUGCGAGAUGACCACUGGAAAUGAAGAAGAUGCUUUCAUUGACGCCAAUAAUUAUGUUCUCGAAUCACGAGAGAUUAGUACCGGGAUGCUCGAAUGCAACUGGACCGUUGAUCCCACAGUAAAUAAUGUUGGAGUAACCAGUACACAUGAGGAGCUCCAAGUACCCUGGCCCCUAGUAACCGCAGCCUUAGAUGGUUCCGUUGCCGCAAACAUAACUGUGACGACACAGGAUGACUGCAAUGAUUCAUCAACAUCCAACGAAAUUGAGAGCAUUCCCAAACAAAACAACACAAAGACUAGUAUUGCGGAAGUGAUGAACUCUGUGCAAAUUCCCGUUGACCAAAGCCCUUCCUAUGAAAGAGCUGACACAUUGACUGUUGGUACCCCUGUAACAAGCUGCCUAUUGAACAACAUUCAGUCGAAUAGCCCACCGAUAAUUGCAUUUCCUCCAUUACAGUCAAUCAGAUUUGUACAAACGAAUUUUCACACAGGACAAACAAACUCAAACUCUGUCCCGAUACAGAUUCAAAACCAGCCCAAUCCGUCCCCCCAGCUCAGCGUGGUCAGUACUCAAGAAGAGACCAUUGUUCAAAUAUCGUCGGCAAAUGUUGUUGGACAAACGAAUGUUGCAACUAGCAACGUUCUUCCACGUAAUCAGGCGCAGAGCAACCCUAUAUGUGUUCCGUCCCCGAAUCAAGGUCGAGGUCAAAGCACAAUCGUCGUCCAGCAACAGACGCCAAUUGUUGCGCAACCUCGACAGAUUGUAACUGCUACUGUCCAGCAACAAUAUGCUACAAGUGUCGUUACUGCUCCUUCGCGAUUGGCCCGUUCUACCAGCCAAGGUGGCCCGAGAGGUUCACGAAGUGGCAAUAAGGAACAAGGCGGGGGAAGGUCUAGGAGUUCCACAAAAGAACCCCCUGGUGCCGUAAAUUUGGAACGAAGCUACCAGAUUUGCCAGGCGGUGAUUCAAAGCUCGCCGAAUAGGGAUCAACUCAAGGCUCAUUUGAAACCACCCCCAAGUUUACUAGCCCGUGCUGAUGGAACUUUCACCACUAGCAAGCCUGGAGGACGUACACUAACCAGUGUCAAAACCCAGAAGGCUCAGCAAGCCUUGCAGCAUGUAAAACAUACGCAGAAUAAGGGUCAAGCAGUGAUGCUUAGACACGUAUUUGCUACCACACGGCAAGCCAUACCUGCAGAGGUGACUGAAAGUGGGGCAGUGGCUCAGCUGGGUCCCAAUGGAACAAAUGGCCUGGGGCAAUACAUCUUGGUACAAAGAACUGGAGUUGGUGACAGUGCACCUCGGGCUUCAUCGGCACCGCCGCUACCCCCCCAAAUAGCUGGAAUGGGAGUGGGACUUCAUCUGGUCAGAGGAAGGCCAGCGAGCGCCGGGGAGGGUUCUCAUCAAGCUGUAACUCUGAAGGCAAGGGGUGCCUCAGAUGGGAGAGGUGGUGGUGGUGCUGAGCCUGGUGCUCCCGGUGUUAUUAUGGGUGGUGAUCCUCCACCACCAUGUGAAUGCAAUAUGAGAGGUGCCAUGGUCAUAUGUCGUCAAUGCGGAGCCUUUUGCCAUGAUGACUGUAUUGGACCUCAACGGAUUUGCGCCACCUGCCUCAUACGUUGAUCGGUGGUUAAUGAUAAAUCAAGUAGCCAGAUAGAUGAAACCCAUAGAUCAAGCUAGAGAGGGCUAGCGUUGGAUAACAAAGCAUGAGAAGGCUGAGCGGCUGUUAGGCUUGACAUAGUUUUCAUAUCUUUGAUUGCCGGAAAUAGGUUUCAACUAUCGUUUCUUUGCUGCUAGCUCAUUUGUUGGUGAAUUUGGUGGUACUGUUUUGAAAAAACUUCCCUUAAUAUGAGAUUUUUGGAAAUUUUUUCACCACGGCCAGUACCUGUUUAUUAUCCACCCGGUUAUCGUUCAUUCAAUAUUCUUACAAGUAGAUGAACAUGGGCGUAGUGGGGACGUUGUUAUGUUUAUUGAAUUGACAUGUACUUGACAUUCAAAAAACUACCUUCCUUUGUGAAACCCUCCCAUAACCAUCACUCUAAGGCUGGUGAGUGAUGAAACAAAGUAUAAAUAAGAAAAAUAACGCGUGAAGCGUAAACAAUCAAAGCAACUUGCCAUCAUCCGUGUUAUCUCGUGUAUUUUAUUUCGAUACUUUUAAUGCUACGUACAAUCAGAGGCAUAUCCAGGCCUGGUGAUUUAUUGAGUCCCCAUUACUUUCAGUGUUAAAUAAGGGCUAAAAUUGCAUUGCAGUCCGACACCGUUAUUGUCUUCCACUAACAUCACACGCAAUCGUUCGUGAUAUCGCUAUUUAUUUAUUCCCACAGUUUUCAAUUCAUCACCCACGUUAUUGCAAAGGACAUUCUUAUUGAAAAAAAUGCGAUGAGAUGCGGCAACAGAUUAGCGUAAAACAUACAGUGAGAAGAGAGUUUAAUGAGCUUGACUCAUGUAUUUCGAUACAGUUUAACGCCUUGGAAUCAUUCUGCCGCGUCUCCUCACACGCGAUGUAUUUAGGAAACUCGUUCGUCUAAGGCAUGUCUUAUCGAGUCAUUAACGAGUGACCUAUUUAGCAUUAGCGACAUAUUAAUUAUCAUUAGAGGUAAGAUUUUCAUGUAGAUUAGCUGUGAUCCAAUGCUUAUUGUUAGAUAAAUCUGCGACGGAUGUUCGUUAUAUCGAGUCAACGAACUGGACUGAUCCUGAAAAGUGACGGAACUGACGGGGCGCAAAAAAGGCGUGACUGACUUUACGUCGAAUUCUCACAUUUUGCAGCAACAGUGAAGAACAAAGCAGAAAGGCAUUACAACAAAUGUUGACUACAACUCAUAGUACGGAUGACUGUCAACUGAUGAAGCGACGCUUCUUUUCAAUUUUUGUG
RNAcentral lists this unclassified non-coding RNA (5588 nucleotides) under Neodiprion pinetum (white pine sawfly). RNAcentral's name for it is "polycomb protein Asx-like, transcript variant X4". Lineage: Eukaryota; Metazoa; Arthropoda; Insecta; Hymenoptera; Diprionidae. The record is from RNAcentral.